UACGUAGGGUGCAAGCGUUAAUCGGAAUUACUGGGCGUAAAGCGUGCGCAGGCGGUUUGGCAAGAAGGAUGUGAAAUCCCGGGGCUUAACCUCGGAACUGCAUUCUUAACUGCCAGGCUAGAGUAUGUCAGAGGGGGGUAGAAUUCCGCGUGUAGCAGUGAAAUGCGUAGAGAUGCGGAGGAAUACCGAUGGCGAAGGCAGCCCCCUGGGAUAAUACUGACGCUCAUGCACGAAAGCGUGGGGAGCAAACAGG
Molecule: ribosomal RNA, 253 nt
Filed under: uncultured bacterium
Lineage: Bacteria
Description: partial 16S ribosomal RNA
Rfam family: Bacterial small subunit ribosomal RNA
Source: RNAcentral